GCGCGGGCGCGCGCCCCGCUCCCACCCCGCGCCGCGGCCGCGGGCCCGGCCCCUCUCCACCCGCCGCCUCACCCCUUGUGGCCGCCAGUGGCCUUCGCUUUGCGCCUCCGCGUGCCUUCGAGCCCCCGGCGGGCCGAGGCGGCCCUCGGGGAAUCCGGCCCCCGGUCAGUGCUCCCCUCGCGUCCGGCCCGCGAGGCUUCUCGGUCGGCCUGGGCCACCCCACCGCCCCGCGAGCGGCGUCCUUCUCGUCCUGCACGCGCCGCCUGGGCCCGCCCGGGGAGGAGGGCCCCGUGGGGCCGGGGCGGGCGAGGAGGGAGGACGGAGAUGCGCCCCGGGCCCGGAGCGUGGUGGACCUAGGGAGUGACAGGCCCGGUGGGCGCCCUGGGGGAAGAGGCCAGUCUGCUGCCCACACCCUGAGCCCACUGAAGCUGGAAGACCGCCAGGCCUGGAGCGCUCUGAACAGUUUAGGUCCUCUGUGCAUGAGAAGCCCAACGGAGUAAUAGGUGCUGAUGAGUUUCGCACCCGGAGUCUGAAGAAAAUGAGUCAUUAAAGGCAUUCAGGGACUUUGCUGUGUAGGGAGAGACUAGUUCUCACUAAUGGUAAUGGCUGAGAUUUCAGCCCUUGGGAAAAAUCAAGGACCAAGUUCCUGGUUGCGAUUGGCGAGGGCAGAGAGGUCUUUAAAGAAGAGCAAGGUUUCCUGUCGGUGGGCACAGGAGAGGAAGAGAAGAGAAAUUCACAUCUCGUCCGAAGUCUGUCGUGGGAAGGACUGGAGCAAGAUGGGUACCUAGACCCCUCAACUUAAUGUUCCACUUGCUGGCUUUGUGGAAUCAGUACUGGAAUUAAUAUUAAUCAAUGGCAAAGGGAGACCAGAACAGAGGAUGGUCCUGUGAUGGAUGGUCACAAGCUUCUCCCUGCUGUGAAGUAUCUUUCCUUCAGAAACGACUCUUUCCAUUCCUUUCAUGUAUUUGCCUUCUCUGGAAGACUCAUUAUGAGCUUCUUAGGACAGCCUUUACUUUGUAUUGGAGGCCCAGAGAAGUCAGGCAAUUUGUUCAAGCCCGCACAGCUAGUUAGGGGCAGAGCCGAGCCUAAAAUCUUGGGCCAUUUCCAAAUCCAGUGUUCGCCCUACUGUAUCACACUGUGAAACUCUUGAGUUGAUCACUGUGAGUGCUUAAUAAAUAUUAGAUUUCUAACAGCAGCCUAUUUGCUUCUGAUUGCUGACUAGUUCACUUCAAUUCAUAUUUAUUUGAACCGAAAACCACUGCCUUCUGACAGCUGGUCUAUUGUUUAUAGGAAAUGAGUUGGUGGGCGAAUUCCAGCCCUGUUGGACAGCAGAACCCAUCACAACAAAUCAAUGUCAAAAAUAGCACUUCAGGAGGAAUACAUGCCACUUAUUUAGUACCCCCAGUGGAGUAGCUCAAAGUGAUUUGAAAAUGUCUCAUUAAUCCACAUGACACCCCUGCGGGAUAAUAAUAAUAUUAUUCUAAUGUUUAAGCAUAGAAAUGUGGCAAAGCCAACAGCGUCUCUGAGCAUGUGCAGAUUUUCCUCAUAUUUCAAGUCCUCAAUAGUAGACCCUAAAUAAAACCAUCAGGUUUGCAAACACCAAGGGUGAAUCUUGGUUUGGGCUUUCUGUGUUGCUCUGGACAUAGCUUGAGUUUCUUACUGGUCACAACAGUACUAGGAGUAGCUCGCCGACGGUCUGCCAGAUGGUUAGCAGCUUCUGGAAUUAGUCCAGAAGUGUUGGAGAGUGGGGCAAGGCAGGUCUAGAAGUUACCACUAAUUACAAUGAUAGAUAAAUGAUGAAAAAGAAACCCCGCCUGCUAUGUGCAAGGCAUCGGAGUAGGGAGUUUGAAUGAGGAGCUUGCCCUCAAAGGACUUACAUGGAGUUGGAAAGACAGGAUACAAGUUUGUGAAAUCUUUACAACAGCAUUGUGCCAGAAAUGUCACAAGCUGCCCUGUGACUAUUUGGUCCCUUCUAGCCAAGCUGCUACUGGCUGUUUCUCAUUCAUACUAAACUGGUUCCUACCUCAAGGGACUUUGUACUUGUUCUUCCCUCUGCCAGAAACACUCUGCAGGUUUUCGCAUGGCUUUUCUCCAUUACUUUUGGUCUCCAUGUAAAAUAUCUUGGGGCGCCUGCGUCGCUCAGUCUGUUAAGUGUCCGACUUCAGCUCAGGUCAUGUUCUUGCGGUUUUUGGGUUCGGGCCGCGUGUCGGGCUCUGUGCAGACAGCUCAGAGCCUGGAGCCUGCUUCGGAUUCUGUGUCUCCCUCUGUCUCUGCCCCUCCCUGCUUGUGCACUCUCUCUCUCUUUCUCAAAAAUAAAUAAAAUUUAAAUAAAUAAAUAAAAAAUAAAAGAAAAUGUCUCUUCAUCAGGGAUAAUGUCCCAGACCACAACCGGCUGAUUUCAAAGAGUUCCCCUUCCUUCCCCCCCUUGGUAACUUUCUAAUCUCUUACCUGCUUUAUUUUUCCUUACUCUAUUUAUUUCUUUGAAUUUAUAUUUUCCAUUUAUUUGGUCACUUGCUUAUUGACGAUCUCCUGCACUAAAACAUAAACUCCCCAAUGGCAGGGUAUUGACUUUUUUACUUGUAUGUCACCAAAAUGUAGACUAAUGCCUGACACACAAGAGGCGCUUAAUCAGUAUGUGAUGAAUGGUGGAAAGAAAGGUGCAGAGCGAACGCACGAGGCAUAGUAAGGUCCAGUGAGUGAAUCAGUUGGCUGGUAUAGAGGGGUUAUUUUGGAGAAUUAUCUGUCCAGUUCUGGUUCUCUCUCCCAGAACCGACUAGGCUGUGCAGAUAUGCAUUAAUUUGUUUUUUAAGUGUCACUUCCUCUUUCUCUACCCUCCUGGAUGGGUCUGUCCUGAACUCUGGAAUUUUAUUCUAAACUGCCUACUUAGAUAUUCUUCCUGAUGAGACCCCAAGCUUAAUAUUUAUAGCACUGAACUCAUUAUCUUUCUCUCCAACGUUGUUCCUCUUCCUGUUUUUCAUACUUCAUGCUAGAAUCCAAAGUCAUCCCUCAAUCUCUCCUCUGCCCCCCACAUCCAGUUGGUCACUAAGUGCUUUCUCUUCUCCAUCCAAGUCCCUCUCGAGUUCUGUCCUCACCUCUUCAUUCUCACUGCCACUGUCCCAGUCCAGGCUCUCCAUUUCAUAACAAGCUCCCUGCUUCCAGUCUCUCUUCUAUGUAUUUCAUCACCAGGAAGUAGCUGAGUUAUUUCCGUAAAACAUAGAUUUGGUCACACUGCUCUCUAGUGCUGCCGUGAUGGCUGAACCCUGGUGCUGACCUGACCUUCUGGCAGCCAUCUUCUGUGUUCUUUCCACACCACUUACUGGUCCUUGGACAUGCCAGCCACCCCCUUGCACACAGCCAUGCAUCUGCUCAUGCUCUAGCUCACUGGACACCCUUUCCACCUUUUACCCACUGGCGAAUUCAGUCUUCAAGGCCCAGCUUAGAUGUCAACUCUUCUGACACCCCCACCCUCCCAGUCAGCCAUGUUUACCACCUCAAAGAAACUCAGCAAAAGUGAUUAUAAAGGAAUUCAUGAUUUUCUUUCUCAUCAGAAGUACUAUCGCAUUUUGUUCGGAGUUCCAUAAGAGGGCUUUACUGUACUAUAGUUAGUGUGUAUGUGAUGAUCUGUGUCCCUAUGAGAGUGUGAACUCCUAUUAAUAGCUAACAUAUUGAGCAGUGAACACACAGUAAUAAGUCAGGACUCUGCUAAGCACUUUAUAUGCAGUAAUCUCCAACAGCCUGUGGGUAGGCAAUAUGACUGCUGUAUCAUUCUACACCCGGACAAAUAGUGGAGGGUGGGAAAAGUCACUUCUGCAAGAUCAUACAGAAUUAGGACAUGGCAGAACCAGGAUUCGAACGAAGUCCACAUUCACAAGCCCAUCCCUAGACCGCCUUUGCGAGGGUUAGAGGGCUUGUCUCAUUCAUCUGUGUAUUUCCAGUCUCCGAUAUUGUGCAGGUAUACGAUAAAGGAUUUUUGAAUAAUAUAAUUUAAGAAGAACAAUCACGAAGCAUAAAUGCUUAUUCACUAAAAUCUGAUGGAUAGACCGUGACGAAGGUGUUAGUCCUGUACCUCAACACCAAGGCUAUAAAAUGCGCUUUCUUGAAUCUGUACCAUUUUUAAGAAGAAAGAUGCUAGACACAGGGAAGGGGUUAUUCUAGAAAUAGAUGCAGAUACAGGUUCUGCCUGGGGUUAAGAUGGCUCUCAGAAUGAACCAGCAGUCUAGUCUGUGUUCUCACAUGGCAGGGUGAUUUUCAGAAAAUAACUUCUAUUCAGAGAAGACUGGAAUUCUGUCAGAAAGUAUGGCAGCCGAAGAGAUACAAGUAUUAUGUUAGGCCAAGCAUUUAAAUAAGUCCCGUGUUUCUUCUUAAGCUUCUGGGUAGGAGAGAGUACAGACACUGAAAUACCUGCAUGGCUUUUGCUCGUUCUGGUUAAUGUAUUGAAAAAUCAGGCAGUCACACUCCUAAUCAUAGAUGAGCUGUGCAAUUAAUGAGACAAGCAGUAGAGCCCUCUGUAUGUCCCAAUUAUUUGUUGGCAGACGGGAAUCUUAACAUUUGUAGAGACAUUUGAAUGGUUUUAGAUCACUGCCAAACGUAUUAACUUUCUUCUAGCAAGAGGUCCAUUACACGUAAUACUUUCACUGUGGUUUUUCUCAAAGUGGACGUGAUGAAGAAUGCUUAUUUAUUUAUUUUUUAACGUUUUUUAAAAAUUUUUUUUGAGACAGGGAGAGACAGAGCAUGAACAGGGGAGGGUCAGAGAGAGGGAGACACAGAAUCUGAAACAGGCUCCAGGCUCUGAGCUGUCAGCACAGAGCCCGAUGCGGGGCUCGAACUCACAUACCGCGAGAUCAUGACCUGAGCCGAAGCCUGCCGCCCAACCGACUGAGCCACCCAGGCGCUCUGAAGAAUGUUUAAAAAUAUCUAGAAAACUCCUUGUGUUUCCUCACGUUCCUUGUGUGAAGUCCUUGUUGUGAGGCUAUGGGUGAACCACAAUAAAAUUAAUUUGGAGAGAUAAAAGGGGUGGUUUUAGUCACAUGACUGAGUUGAUAUUAAUGUGAACUGUUGAUCAUAAAUUGACAUGCAACUGUAAAACUUCAGCAGACAUUUACAGGAAUCUACUGAAAUAGAUCGAGGUUUUGAGCAAGGUUUUUUUUUUUUUUUUUUUUUUUUUUUUUUUGUAUUGCCAAUCUGGUGAAAACCAAAGCAUAUUUUAUUAAUCUACAGACAAAAUGUUACAGUGUGAUUACUUUGUCAUUGGUUUUGCAAUGACGUUGACAGAGCAACUCAACAUGUCUGUCGAAUGGUAUUACCAUUUUAUUGACUUUUCAUGACAAUGGUGAUGAUAUUAAUGAAAGCAUAUAAAGGCCCACGAUGAACCAAAUAAUACUGGGUACUGUAAUGACAAAAGAAUAUGAAUGCAAUUCUUUGGGGACUUCCUCAUACCUAAGAAAAUGCAAUGGAUAUAUUACUUGCUUAUAAAACGAAUGCAAAUAAAACUAAAACAUG
Long non-coding RNA from Neofelis nebulosa (Clouded leopard), 5499 nucleotides. RefSeq lists it as uncharacterized. NCBI's taxonomy places the organism in Eukaryota, Metazoa, Chordata, Mammalia, Carnivora, Felidae. The record is from RefSeq and is a predicted model, not a curated record. The transcript is spliced from 2 exons.